RNAcentral lists this ribosomal RNA (332 nucleotides) under uncultured bacterium. RNAcentral's name for it is "bacterial SSU rRNA". It matches the Rfam family "Bacterial small subunit ribosomal RNA", at positions 568 to 898 of the family's 1533-position model. The record is from RNAcentral.
CGCGUAGGCGGCCUGGCAAGUGGAAGGUGAAAUCCCUCGGCUUAACCGAGGAACUGUCCUCCAAACUGCCUGGCUUGAGACCGGGAGAGGUGAGUGGAAUUCCCAGUGUAGCGGUGAAAUGCGUAGAUAUUGGGAGGAACACCAGUGGCGAAGGCGGCUCACUGGACCGGUACUGACGCUGAGGCGCGAAAGCGUGGGGAGCAAACGGGAUUAGAUACCCCGGUAGUCCACGCCGUAAACGAUGAGUGCUUGGUGUAGCGGGUAUCGACCCCUGCUGUGCCGAAGUCAACACAUUAAGCACUCCGCCUGGGGAGUACGGUCGCAAGGCUGAA